AUCCCUGCCCCCAGGGGUACGGGCAUUGUCUCGGCCCCUGUGCCUAAGAAGUUGCUGAUGAUGGCUGGUAUUGACGACUGCUACACUUCAGCCAGGGGCUGCACUGCCACCCUGGGCAACUUCGCCAAGGCCACCUUUGAUGCCAUCUCUAAGACCUACAGCUAUCUCACCCUAGAUCUCUGGAAAGAGACCGUGUUCACCACGUCUCCACAUCAGGAAUUCACUGACCAUCUUGUCAAGACCCACACCAGAGUUUCUGUGCAGAGGACCCAGGCUCCCGCUGUGGCCACCACAUAAUUUUAUACAAGAAAAAUAAAGUGAAUUAAGCCUGCUAAAAAAAAAAA
RNA transcript from Myotis davidii, 344 nucleotides. It is a transcript of the gene named 40S ribosomal protein S2 pseudogene, with no coding region annotated. The transcript has a single exon. Lineage: Eukaryota; Metazoa; Chordata; Mammalia; Chiroptera; Vespertilionidae. The record is from RefSeq and is a predicted model, not a curated record.